GGCAGUGCAGUACUAGCUUGCCUGUACAGGGCUAUGUGCUGGGGUUUUUAUACUGACCAGAGCGAGAUUGGUGGUUAUCUUGUGUUAUUACAGGUAUGUGAAUUAAAAAUUUAUAUGUUUAAUAUUUUUAAAAAUUUAAUAUUGUAGCUUUGAUUUGAUAUAUCAGGUAUGAUUUUUUUUAAAAUUUAUAGAUUUGGGCAUGGGAGAAG
RNAcentral lists this long non-coding RNA (209 nucleotides) under Elaeis guineensis (African oil palm). Its description in RNAcentral is "long non-coding RNA (EGUI_LNC076702)". Lineage: Eukaryota; Viridiplantae; Streptophyta; Magnoliopsida; Arecales; Arecaceae. The record is from RNAcentral.